GACGAACGCUGGCGGCGUGCCUAACACAUGCAAGUCGAGCGGAGAUAUAUGGAAGGUUUACCGGAAAUAUAUCUUAGCGGCGGACGGGUGAGUAACGCGUGGGCAACCUGCCUCAUACAGGGGGAUAACACAGGGAAACUUGUGCUAAUACCGCAUGAAAUCAUAGUAUGGCAUCAUACAAUGAUCAAAGGAGCAAUCCGGUAUGAGAUGGGCCCCGCGUCCGAUUAGCUAGUUGGUGAGGUAACGGCUCACCAAGGCGACGAUCGGUAGCCGAACUGAGAGGUUGAUCGGCCACAUUGGGACUGAGACACGGCCCAGACUCCUACGGGAGGCAGCAGUGGGGAAUAUUGCGCAAUGGGGGAAACCCUGACGCAGCAACGCCGCGUGAAGGAGAAGGCCUUCGGGUUGUAAACGUUCUUUGUAUAGGGACGAGUAAUAGACGUAACCCGUAAAACAAAGACCACGGCGUAAACUACGUGUCCACGCAGGCCGCGGUAAACCGAACGACGAGUAA
This 514-nucleotide ribosomal RNA is filed under the name uncultured bacterium. RNAcentral describes it as "bacterial SSU rRNA". It matches the Rfam family "Bacterial small subunit ribosomal RNA", at positions 28 to 537 of the family's 1533-position model. The record is from RNAcentral.